This 1109-nucleotide long non-coding RNA is filed under the name Coturnix japonica (Japanese quail). RNAcentral's name for it is "lncRNA (ENSCJPG00005003012.1)". Lineage: Eukaryota; Metazoa; Chordata; Aves; Galliformes; Phasianidae. The record is from RNAcentral.
UGGCAGCCUGAUGAAUCACCUGUAAUUACACUUUUUUGCCAGAUGCCCUGAGCCACUUUAGACAGCCAUGCUUUAUUGCAGUCACACAAUCAUAGGAUCAUUCUGAUUGGAAAAGGUUUCUAAAAUCACCCAGACCAGCCAUCGAUCCAUCACCACCACAUUACUAACCAUGUCCCUCAGUACUACAUCUCCACAGUUCUCAAGCACCUUUAGUUGUGGUCAGUCCCCUACAUCCACGGGCAGCCUAUGACACUGCAAUACCACCCUUUCUGAGAAGAAAUUUUUGCUAAUAUCCACAGGUGAGUCAACCAGGUGAGUCCCUGGGCUCACAGGGGAGUGUGUGCAUAACCUGUCAAUAGUCUUUAAUGGAAUUUGGGGAUAGAUUAAAUUUUUAUUGCAGUACACUUACAUUGGGCCCCAUUCAAUUACAGGGACACUAAUGGUUUAGGACAACAAGCAAUUUUCCUUCCCAUUUUAAGACUGAUGGAGCAUAGAAAGGCAUGAGUUGAUUAAAAUCAGCUGGGCUUCACUUGAAAUUCAAAGCUGUGGUUGCAGGAUGCCUACAGAUGAUGGCACGCCUUGAGGAUUUCCUUGCACAGACUUCAUCUUUGCAUCUAGUGGGAUGUUACCAGUCUGGAGAUGUUCACAUCACUGGAGUUCUUUUGGAAUGCUCUAAGAAAUUUCAAUAAGGAAUUGCUCAUUCUGCAUCUUUGACUGCCAGACAGCCUAUCCUACUUUUCCCCAUUUUGCUGUUAUCUAUAAGGUAAGUAGUUAUUCUGGAUUUGAUCUUUUGUUAAUGGCCAAGUCCUUCAUUCUUGCAGUGCUGGGACUUGCAAGUAAAGACCAGAGGACAGUCAGUCUUUGUAACUGGCAUUGCCAGGGCUGUAGCAGCAUCUGUGACAUGGAGAUACAGUAACCUUAUGCCAGUCCUCACUGGCUUCCCAUCUCCUAGGCAAUGGUCAUAAAAUCAUAGAAUAAUCAAGGCUGGAAAAGAAUAUUAUGAUCAUCUAUUCCAACCCAUCACCACCAUGAUGACUCCCAGGUGAGUAAUUGGUGCCUCAUUACAGGGAAGAUCUCACUGCCUUCCUGGAAGAGGGCAAUUUUACCAC